Molecule: ribosomal RNA, 600 nt
Filed under: uncultured bacterium
Lineage: Bacteria
Description: bacterial SSU rRNA
Rfam family: Bacterial small subunit ribosomal RNA
Source: RNAcentral
ACGAGGCCUUUACUGACGCUAAAGCUCGAAGGUGCGGGUAUCGAACAGGAUUAGAUACCCUGGUAGUCCGCACGGUAAACGAUGGAUGCCCGCUGUUUGCGAUACACUGUGAGCGGCCAAGCGAAAGCGUUAAGCAUCCACCUGGGGAGUACGCCGGCAACGGUGAAACUCAAAGGAAUUGACGGGGGCCCGCGCAAGCGGAGGAACAUGUGGUUUAAUUCGAUGAUACGCGAGGAACCUUACCCGGGCUUGAACUGCCGGCGAACGAUACAGAGAUGUUGAGGCCCUUCGGGGCGCCGGUGGAGGUGCUGCAUGGUUGUCGUCAGCUCGUGCCGUGAGGUGUCGGCUUAAGUGCCAUAACGAGCGCAACCCCUCUCCGUAGUUGCCAUCGGGUGAUGCCGGGCACUCUGCGGACACUGCCACCGUAAGGUGUGAGGAAGGUGGGGAUGACGUCAAAUCAGCACGGCCCUUACGUCCGGGGCUACACACGUGUUACAAUGGGUGGUACAGAGGGCAGGCGUCCGGCAACGUCCGUCUAAUCCCGAAAGCCAUCCUCAGUUCGGACUGGGGUCUGCAACCCGACCCCACGAAGCUGGAUUC